RNAcentral lists this unclassified non-coding RNA (261 nucleotides) under Hevea brasiliensis (rubber tree). Lineage: Eukaryota; Viridiplantae; Streptophyta; Magnoliopsida; Malpighiales; Euphorbiaceae. The record is from RNAcentral.
GUCCAUUAGCUAUUGAUCGUGAUACAUAUAGUGGGGGCUUACCAUCUCUUAAAUAUAAUCCAUACUCUUGGACAAAGAUUGCUAGCAUCAUAUUCAUAGAUGCACCAGUUGGAACUGGAUUUUCCUAUGCAACAACCACAGAGGCUGCCAAUACCUCCGACACAUUAUCAGCAUCACAGACCUAUAAUUUCCUAAGAAAGUGGCUGGUGACUCACCCCAAGUUUCUUGGAAACCAAGUGUACAUUGGUGGAGAUUCAUAUU